This 271-nucleotide ribosomal RNA is filed under the name uncultured archaeon. RNAcentral's name for it is "partial 16S ribosomal RNA". It matches the Rfam family "Archaeal small subunit ribosomal RNA", at positions 477 to 747 of the family's 1478-position model. The record is from RNAcentral.
CUGCGCCACGAGUGGCAACCGCGAUUAUUGGGCCUAAAGCGUCCGUAGCCGGUCUUGUAAAUUCUUUGUGAAAUCGUCAUGCUUAACGUGACGGUAUGCAGAGAAAACUGCAAGACUUGGAACCGGGAGGAGUCAGAAGUAUUUCUUGGGGAGCGGUAAAAUGCCAUAAUCCUUGAAGGACUACCUGUGGCGAAGGCGUCUGACUAGAACGGUUUUGACGGUGAGGGACGAAAGCUAGGGGAGCGAUCCGGAUUAGAUACCCGAGUAGUCC